This 2002-nucleotide ribosomal RNA is filed under the name Bacteroidia bacterium. Its description in RNAcentral is "partial 23S ribosomal RNA". It matches the Rfam family "Bacterial large subunit ribosomal RNA", at positions 1 to 2005 of the family's 2925-position model. Lineage: Bacteria; Pseudomonadati; Bacteroidota; Bacteroidia. The record is from RNAcentral.
AGAUUAAGCUAUAAAGAGUGCAUGGCGAAUGCCUUGGCAUCAGGAGUCGAAGAAGGUCGUGAUAAGCUGCGAUAAGCUCGGGGUAGACGCACAUAGUCUGUGAACCCGAGAUCACCGAAUGAGGCAACUCACUGGGGUAACCCCCAGUAUCCAUAGAUGAAUACAUAGUCUAUAGGAGGACAGACCCAGGGAACUGAAACAUCUAAGUACCUGGAGGAAGAGAAAGAAACAUCGAUUUCCCUAGUAGCGGCGAGCGAACGGGAAAGAGCCCAAACCGGAAACUUGUUUCCGGGGUUGCGGACAGUCUAUGAAGUACGAGACGUCUUUAGCAGAGCACAGCUGGAAAGCUGGACCACAGGGGGUAAUAGUCCCGUAUGCGAAAGAGAUGAACCGGAAAUGACUGAUCCAGAGUACCACGAGACACGUGAAACCUUGUGGGAAGCAGGGGGGACCACCCCCCAAGGCUAAAUACUACCUGAUGACCGAUAGUGAAGCAGUACCGUGAGGGAAAGGUGAAAAGAACCCCGGGAGGGGAGUGAAAUAGAACCUGAAACCGUGCACUUACAAACGGCUAGAGCACUAUUAGAAAGUGUGAUAGCGUGCUUUUUGUAGAACGAGCCAACGAGUUACGAUAUGUAGCAAGGUUAAGUACUUCAGGUACGGAGCCGAAGGGAAACCGAGUCUUAAUAGGGCAACAAGUUGCAUGUCGUAGACCCGAAACCGGGUGACCUAUCCAUGGCCAGGUUGAAGCGAGAGUAAAAUCUCGUGGAGGACCGAACCAAAUUGAUGUUGAAAAAUCAUGGGAUGAGCUGUGGAUAGCGGAGAAAUUCCAAUCGAACCCGGAGAUAGCUGGUUCUCCUCGAAAUAGCUUUAGGGCUAGCGUCGGAUAUAUGAGUUAUGGAGGUAGAGCACUGAAUGGGCUAGGGGGCAUAUCGCUUACCGAACCUUAUCAAACUCCGAAUGCCAUAUACUAUUAGUCCGGCAGUCAGACUGUGUAAGAUAAGUUUCAUAGUCGAAAGGGAAAAAGCCCAGACCGUCAGCUAAGGUCCCCAAGUAUAGAUUAAGUGGAAAAGGAUGUGGGAUUUCCAAGACAACUAGGAUGUUGGCUUAGAAGCAGCCACUCAUUAAAAGAGUGCGUAAUAGCUCACUAGUCGAGAGAUCCCGCGCCGAAAAUGUCCGGGGCUAAAAUCUAUCACCGAAGCUACGGGUGGCACCUUCAUGGUGCCGCGGUAGAGGAGCGUUCUGUACUGGCUGAAGCCAUACCGUAAGGAGUGGUGGACGGUACAGAAGUGAGAAUGUUGGCAUAAGUAGCGAGAUGCGGGUGAGAAUCCCGCAGGUCGAAAAUCUAAGGUUUCCUGAGGAAGGUUCGUCCGCUCAGGGUUAGUCGGGUCCUAAGCCGAGGCCGAGAGGCGUAGGUGAUGGACAAUCGGUUGAUAUUCCGAUACCACUAUGAAGCGUUUGACCGAAGGGGUGACGCAGGAGGAUAAGAUGUGCGUACGAUUGGAUUGUACGUCCAAGCACUGAGAAAGGACAGGGAGGCAAAUCCCUCUGUCCGCUACUUUCAAGGUGUUACGGGGAGAGGCCCACGGGCCUCGAGUAUCUGAUUUCACGCUGCCAAGAAAAGCCUCUAGGGAGUGACAUAGUGCCCGUACCGCAAACCGACACAGGUAGAUGAGGAGAGAAUCCUAAGACCAUCGGAAGAAUUGUUGUUAAGGAACUCGGCAAAUUAACCCCGUAACUUCGGGAGAAGGGGUGCCGGAGAGGAAUCUCCGGCCGCAGUGAAAUGGCCCAAGCAACUGUUUAGCAAAAACACAGGUCUCUGCUAAAGCGUAAGCUGAAGUAUAGGGGCUGACGCCUGCCCGGUGCUGGAAGGUUAAGGGGAUCACUUAGCGCAAGCGAAGGUGUGAACUUAAGCCCCAGUAAACGGCGGCCGUAACUAUAACGGUCCUAAGGUAGCGAAAUUCCUUGUCAGGUAAGUUCUGACCCGCACGAAUGGCGUAAU